UGAGUAACGCGUGAGAAUCUGCCUACAGAUGGGGGACAACCACUGGAAACGGUGGCUAAUACCGCAUGAGCCUAAGGGUAAAAGAUUAAUUGUCUGUAGAUGAGCUCGCGUCCGAUUAGGUAGUUGGUGGAGUAACGGUUUACCAAGCCAAUGAUCGGUAGCUGGUCUGAGAGGAUGACCAGUCACACUGGAACUGAGAGACGGUCCAGACUCCUACGGGAGGCAGCAGUGAGGACUUCUCCGCAAUGGGAGAAAGCCUGACGGAGCAAGACCGCGUGGGGGAGGAAGGUUUGUGGAUUGUAAACCCCUUUUAAUGGUGAAGAUGAUGACGGUAGCCAUUGAAUCAGCAUCGGCUAAAUCCGUGCCAGCAGCCGCGGUAAUACGGAGGAUGCAAGCGUUAUCCGGAAUGAUUGGGCGUAAAGCG
This 424-nucleotide ribosomal RNA is filed under the name uncultured cyanobacterium. RNAcentral describes it as "bacterial SSU rRNA". It matches the Rfam family "Bacterial small subunit ribosomal RNA", at positions 107 to 567 of the family's 1533-position model. The record is from RNAcentral. Lineage: Bacteria; Bacillati; Cyanobacteriota.